CUUCCCCACGGAGCACCAGCAGCACUCCAGUGUCAGCGCUGCAGUCACUGCUGCUUUUGCCUCCGCACAAGAAAUCGAUGAGUACUUUGAUCUUGGCUUUCUUGCCUGGCAGUAGUCUCCAGGGACGACAGCGUGAGGUCUUCUGAAUGGUGAAAGCUGAGACUCAACUGUUCUGCAGGAGACCCUGAAACCUGGAAAGAGCAGAUUCUCCUUCAGUUGGUGCUGAUCUCCAAGGUAACAGCAGCCACAGUGCUGAGCGUGGGACCUCACGGGGCUCAGGCCUGUCAGCUGCGCGUGGGACCUCACGGGGCUCAGGCCUGUCAACUGCAAAGGAAACGCCUUGGGAACAGUCCUUAACUUCCAUCCAUAACUACUGUUGUCCUUCUCGAAUGAUGCGUGGAACCAGAAAAGCCACUGGAGACCACAAAAUUCUUUGCUGGUGUUUUCUUUCACUUCAACCGAGGUGGAGUGUCACCGAUCUGCCGGUUUUGUCUCCAUGUUAGGAGAAGCUUAACAUGACAAGUAGACCACACCACUGGGAGUAACAGGCUCAGCACUUCACGUACAGCCAAGGUUGCCAGUGUUCUGAUGCUACAUCGCCAGAGCCCAGGAGGCCCAUGUCAGCCAUCAGUCAGAGUGGAGAGGAAGUGAUAAUGGCAGUGGCUUCUCAAAGGUCUGUUACCUCCUUAUGAGAAGGCACCAAGUUUGGUUGAAUGUGGCCAAGCAACAGCAAUGCAGGUGUGGUGCACUGGGUAUAAGGUCUCAACAGUGGUGCCUCUCAAAGCAGUUUUGGAUUUAGGAGGUG
RNAcentral lists this long non-coding RNA (805 nucleotides) under Calidris pugnax (ruff). RNAcentral's name for it is "lncRNA (ENSCPUG00000003446.1)". The record is from RNAcentral. Lineage: Eukaryota; Metazoa; Chordata; Aves; Charadriiformes; Scolopacidae.